Molecule: ribosomal RNA, 482 nt
Filed under: uncultured bacterium
Lineage: Bacteria
Description: partial 16S ribosomal RNA
Rfam family: Bacterial small subunit ribosomal RNA
Source: RNAcentral
AUUGAACGCUGGCGGCAUGCUUUACACAUGCAAGUCGAACGGUAACAGGCCGCAAGGUGCUGACGAGUGGCGCACGGGUGCGUAAUGCAUCGGAACGUGCCCAGUCGUGGGGGAUAACUACUCGAAAGAGUAGCUAAUACCGCAUACGAUCUAUGGCUGAAAUCGGGGGACCGUAAGGCCUCGCGCGAUUGGAGCGGCCGAUGUCAGAUUAGGUAGUUGGUGGGGUAAAGGCUCACCAAGCCAACGAUCUGUAGCUGGUCUGAGAGGACGACCAGCCACACUGGGACUGAGACACGGCCCAGACUCCUACGGGAGGCAGCAGUGGGGAAUUUUGGACAAUGGGCGCAAGCCUGAUCCAGCAAUGCCGCGUGCAGGAAGAAGGCCUUCGGGUUGUAAACUGCUUUUGUACGGAACGAAACGGCUCUGGUUAAUACCCGGGGCUAAUGACGGUACCGUAAGAAUAAGCACCGGCUAACUACGUG